CGCGUAGGCGGACUGGAAAGUUGGGGGUGAAAUCCCAGGGCUCAACCCUGGAACUGCCUCCAAAACUACUAGUCUAGAGUUCGAGAGAGGUGAGUGGAACUCCGAGUGUAGAGGUGAAAUUCGUAGAUAUUCGGAAGAACACCAGUGGCGAAGGCGGCUCACUGGCUCGAUACUGACGCUGAGGUGCGAAAGUGUGGGGAGCAAACA
This 207-nucleotide ribosomal RNA is filed under the name uncultured bacterium. RNAcentral's name for it is "partial 16S ribosomal RNA". It matches the Rfam family "Bacterial small subunit ribosomal RNA", at positions 568 to 774 of the family's 1533-position model. The record is from RNAcentral.